GGGUAGUUUGACUGGGGCGGUCUCCUCCUAAAGAGUAACGGAGGAGCACGAAGGUUGGCUAAUCCUGGUCGGACAUCAGGAGGUUAGUGCAAUGGCAUAAGCCAGCUUGACUGCGAGCGUGACGGCGCGAGCAGGUGCGAAAGCAGGUCAUAGUGAUCCGGUGGUUCUGAAUGGAAGGGCCAUCGCUCAACGGAUAAAAGGUACUCCGGGGAUAACAGGCUGAUACCGCCCAAGAGUUCAUAUCGACGGCGGUGUUUGGCACCUCGAUGUCGGCUCAUCACAUCCUGGGGCUGAAGUAGGUCCCAAGGGUAUGGCUGUUCGCCAUUUAAAGUGGUACGCGAGCUGGGUUUAGAACGUCGUGAGACAGUUCGGUCCCUAUCUGCCGUGGGCGCUGGAGAACUGAGGGGGGCUGCUCCUAGUACGAGAGGACCGGAGUGGACGCAUCACUGGUGUUCGGGUUGUCAUGCCAAUGGCACUGCCCGGUAGCUAAAUGCGGAAGAGAUAAGUGCUGAAAGCAUCUAAGCACGAAACUUGCCCCGAGAUGAGUUCUCCCUGACUCCCUGAGAGUCCUGAAGGAACGUUGAAGACGACGACGUUGAUAGGCCGGGUGUGUAAGCGCAGCGAUGCGUUGAGCUAACCGGUACUAAUGAACCGUGAGGCUUAACCUUACAACGCCGAAGGUGUUU
Molecule: ribosomal RNA, 686 nt
Filed under: Escherichia coli
Lineage: Bacteria; Pseudomonadati; Pseudomonadota; Gammaproteobacteria; Enterobacterales; Enterobacteriaceae
Description: partial 23S ribosomal RNA
Rfam family: Bacterial large subunit ribosomal RNA
Source: RNAcentral